Long non-coding RNA from Arabidopsis thaliana (thale cress), 488 nucleotides. RefSeq annotates it as other RNA. Lineage: Eukaryota; Viridiplantae; Streptophyta; Magnoliopsida; Brassicales; Brassicaceae. The transcript has 2 exons. The record is from RefSeq.
UACCAAGGCCGUUUCUCCAGAAAUGUUCGAGAGAGUUGAGAUGCAUCGUCCCUUAUGCUUGAGACGGAAUGAUUAAGAACGAUUAUCCACCGAGUUAAACUAACCACCGAGUUAAAGUAACCACCAGGUUUUAUGAAAAGGAAAGACAAGACCAACCUAACUCUCUCACUACAAAACUAAGAAGGCGUCCAUUACCCUCUGUUACCGAGUAAGAGAUCGUCAAACGUUGUCUUGCCAAUAAGAAAAAAAGAACAGACCUGGGCCUUAUGAAAGUUGGGCUUCUGCCGAAGACUUUCCUGUUGGGCUGAGACAGAAUGUCUAAUGGGCUGCAGGGGAUGUAGAGCACUCUUGGGCCUGGCCCAAACUGAGAGACAUUCAGCAUGAUUAGCUCUGGUCCCGCAACAUCCAAGCAAAGAACUUAGUGGUGGGAUUUGAAUCCCACGGCGAGGAGUCAGGAGGUGCUGGUUUUGACUUCGAGGGGAGACGAC